RNAcentral lists this unclassified non-coding RNA (231 nucleotides) under synthetic construct. The record is from RNAcentral.
AACUAAGUAGUCUCAAAGUGAUUCGGUCGUGAGGCACACUGAUGCGGUUACGGGGUAAGACGGCCCGAAACACCUAGGCGUGCAAUGCCUCAGCUGCCAACCAGUAUUGAGCCCAGUCCGUGAUAGGGCAAACAAGUUGCACGCGCUUCCGCAGGCACCACCGCAGUGUGGUCCAGCAGUGACUUGUGUAGUCCUCGUGGGAGGCUGGUUUUGAAAGCAUAUGAUUCAGAU